GACGAACGCUGGCGGCGUGCUUAACACAUGCAAGUCGAACGGAAAGGCCCUGCUUUUGUGGGGUGCUCGAGUGGCGAACGGGUGAGUAACACGUGAGUAACCUGCCCUUGACUUUGGGAUAACUUCAGGAAACUGGGGCUAAUACCGGAUAGGAGCUCCUGCUGCAUGGUGGGGGUUGGAAAGUUUCGGCGGUUGGGGAUGGACUCGCGGCUUAUCAGCUUGUUGGUGGGGUAGUGGCUUACCAAGGCUUUGACGGGUAGCCGGCCUGAGAGGGUGACCGGCCACAUUGGGACUGAGAUACGGCCCAGACUCCUACGGGAGGCAGCAGUGGGGAAUAUUGCACAAUGGGCGGAAGCCGGAUGCAGCAACGCCGCGUGCGGGAUGACGGCCUUCGGGUGGUAAACCGCUUUCGCCUGUGACGAAGCGUGAGUGACGGUAAUGGGUAAAGAAGUACCGGCUAACUACGU
RNAcentral lists this ribosomal RNA (467 nucleotides) under uncultured bacterium. RNAcentral's name for it is "partial 16S ribosomal RNA". It matches the Rfam family "Bacterial small subunit ribosomal RNA", at positions 28 to 506 of the family's 1533-position model. The record is from RNAcentral.